Long non-coding RNA from Oncorhynchus tshawytscha (Chinook salmon), 331 nucleotides. NCBI's taxonomy places the organism in Eukaryota, Metazoa, Chordata, Actinopteri, Salmoniformes, Salmonidae. The record is from Ensembl.
GCCCCACAUGAUUUACAUGCUAAAAUCGCCACUGAUGUGCAGUGAAACAUGACAGUUCGUGGCUGUUUCUCAGGAACCUACCAAUAACAGGGGAGGUUAGAAUUUUAUAUCAUACCCCCAAGACAUGCUAACCUCUCACCAUUACCAAUAACAGGGUAGGUUAGCAUUUUAUAUCAUACCCCCAAGACAUGCUAACCUCUCACCAUUACCAAUAACAGGGUAGGUUAGCAUUUUAUAUCAUACCCCCAAGACAUGUUAACCUCUCACCGUUACCAAUAACAGGGGAGGUUAGCAUUUUAUAUCAUACCCCCAAGACAUGCUAACCUCUCAC